GACUACCCGGGUAUCUAAGCCUGUUUGCUCCCCUAGCUUUCGCAGCUUAGCGUCAGGGCUAGACUAGAGAGCCGCUUUCGCCACUGGUGUUCCUCCCGAUAUCUACAGAUUUCACUCUUACACCGGGAAUUCCGCUCUCCUCUUCUAGCCUCAAGCCAUGCAGUUUUGAAGGCAGUUCUGUGGUUGAGCCACAGGAUUUCACCCCCAACUUGCAUAGCCGCCUACCUGCCCUUUACACCCAAUAAAUCCGAGUAACGCUCGCCAUCUCUGUAUUACCGCGGCUGCUGGCACAGAGUUAGCCAUGGCUUCUUCUCUAGGUACCGUCAGUUCCAGUAGUUAACCGGAAUUUUCUUCCCUAUCGAAAGAGGUUUACAAUCCGAAGACCUUCAUCCCUCACGCGGCGUCACAUAGUCAGGCUUUCGCCCAUUGCUAAAUAUCCUCGACUGCAGCCCCCCGUAGG
This 460-nucleotide ribosomal RNA is filed under the name uncultured bacterium. RNAcentral's name for it is "partial 16S ribosomal RNA". The record is from RNAcentral.